This 852-nucleotide ribosomal RNA is filed under the name uncultured bacterium. RNAcentral describes it as "bacterial SSU rRNA". It matches the Rfam family "Bacterial small subunit ribosomal RNA", at positions 51 to 883 of the family's 1533-position model. The record is from RNAcentral.
AGGCAUGCAUGUCGAGCGAGAACGGGGAGCAAUCCCUUAGUAAAGCGGCACACGGGUCAGUAAUGCGUGGAUAACUUGCCCUCGAGACUGGGAUAACGGCGGGAAACUGCCGCUAAUACCGGAUGGCCUCGCGGACCGGCAUCGGACUGCGAGUAAAGGUGGGGACCGAAAGGCCUGCCGCUCAAGGAGAGGUUCACGACCUAUCAGCUAGUUGGCGAGGUAACGGCUCACCAAGGCGACGACGGGUAGGCGGGCUGAGAGGCUGACCGCCGACACUGGGACUGAGAACUGCCCAGACUCCUACGGGAGGCUGCAGUCGAGAAUCUUCCACAAUGGACGCAAGUCUGAUGGAGCGACGCCGCGUGUGGGAUGAAGGUCUUUGGAUUGUAGACCACUGUCACGCGUUAUGAAUGCGCGGCAGCGAAUACCUGCCGCGUUGACAAAGGCGCGAGAGGAAGCCACGGCUAACUCUGUGCCAGCAGCCGCGGUAAUACAGAGGUGGCAAGCGUUGCUCGGUAUCACUGGGCUUAAAGGGCGCGUAGGCGGUGCGGUGCGGUUUCGGUGAAAUCCCUCGGCCCAACCGAGGAACAGCCGGGGCUACGGCCGCGCUAGACGGCAUCAGGGGACAGUGGAACUCCCGGUGGAGCGGUGAAAUGCGUAGAUAUCGGGAGGAACGCCGGUGGCGAAAGCGACUGUCUGGGGUGCCUGUGACGCUGAGGCGCGAAAGCCAGGGGAUCAAACGGGAUUAGAUACCCCGGUAGUCCUGGCCCUAAACGAUGCGCACUAGGUAGCGGGGGAUUCCGAUUUCCCGCUGCCGGAGUAAAAAUCUUAAGUGCGCCGCCUGGGGAGUAC